This 197-nucleotide ribosomal RNA is filed under the name uncultured bacterium. RNAcentral describes it as "partial 16S ribosomal RNA". It matches the Rfam family "Bacterial small subunit ribosomal RNA", at positions 328 to 539 of the family's 1533-position model. The record is from RNAcentral.
ACGCUCGACACCUACGGAGGCAGCAAUGGGGAAUAUUGCACAAUGGGGGAAACCCUGAUGCAGCGACGCCGCGUGGAGGAAGAAGGUCUUCGGAUUGUAAACUCCUGUUGUUGGGGAAAAAGAGGAUGGUACCCAACAAGGAAGUGACGGCUAACUACGUGCCAACAGCCGCGGUAAUCUGAGCGGGCUGGCAAGGC